GCGGGAGAGAGAAAAGGAUAGGAGGAAGAAGAUUGUGCGCGUAACUGCGACAGAGAGAAACAGAGAGGAGGAAGAAGAUUGUGCGCGUAACUGCGACAAAGAGAAACGAAGAGGAGGAAGAAGAUGAUGCGCGUAACUGCGACAGAGAGAAACAAAGAGGAGGAAGAAGAUGAUGCACGUAACUGCGAGUUCGCGGUUAUUUAAACAUGAAAUUAUGCGUCGGUUAUUGUACAAAUCGACGUAUGUAAACGUCAGUUACCUCACUAAUUCGAUGUCCAAGAGACUUUUCACCUUCCUUUUUCAGGCCAUUUAGACGUUGGAUGCAGGGGUAGUGACGUCGAAAACGUUGAACGAAGUGACGUUUCAGUAACCGGUCAGUCUAGUAGACGACGGGGACCUAGGGGCACCGACAUCUAUAAACUUAUAGACGUCGGUCCUGAACAAAUGGAUGUCUAUUUGCCUGCGGGGUAAGUGAAUCGCAUUAAUUGCAACCAUAUAGACGUCGGUGUUCUCACUAAUUUGAUGUCUUUAUGAUUUAAAAAUUCAUAUUGGCGCCGAUUAUAAACGUCGGUCAUCUGGGUCACCGACGUCUACUUGAAUUCUUCAGCU
Molecule: long non-coding RNA, 609 nt
Filed under: Vigna radiata
Lineage: Eukaryota; Viridiplantae; Streptophyta; Magnoliopsida; Fabales; Fabaceae
Description: long non-coding RNA (VRAD_LNC007920)
Source: RNAcentral